UCCUACGGGAGGCAGCAGUGGGGAAUUUUGCACAAUGAGCGCAAGCUUGAUGCAGCGACGCCGCGUGGAGGAUGACGGUCUUCGGAUUGUAAACUCCUGUUAAGUGGGAAGAAAGACGUACUGUUAAUACCAGUACGGGAUGACGGUACCACUAGAGAAAGCUCCGGCUAACUUCGUGCCAGCAGCCGCGGUAAUACGAAGGGAGCAAGCGUUAUUCGGAAUAACUGGGCGUAAAGGGCGCGUAGGCGGUUUAUUAAGUCAGUUGUUAAAUCCCAUGGCUUACCCAUGGACCAGCAAUUGAUACUGAUAGACUAAGAGGAUAAGAGAGAGAAGUGGAAUUCUCGGAGUAGCGGUAAAAUGCGUAGAUCUCGAGAGGAACACCGAUUGCGAAGGCAGCUUCUUGGCUUAUACCUGACGCUGAGGCGCGAAAGCGUGGGGAGCAAACAGGAUUAGAUACCCCGGU
Molecule: ribosomal RNA, 463 nt
Filed under: uncultured bacterium
Lineage: Bacteria
Description: bacterial SSU rRNA
Rfam family: Bacterial small subunit ribosomal RNA
Source: RNAcentral